AUGGAAUAUGAGGGUGACAAGUUUAGACUACCAGAGGCUGAGUUUUAGCAUGCUAUCUGCAAGAUCUUGUUUUGAUUCACAUGCUUUUGGAUUUGGAAUUUGCAGGAAAAAUGGUUCCAGUGGAAGGAGUUUAGAAGAAACAGUUAUUCCAUGGUGGAUUUCUGGCUUUUAACUGCACAGAAGGUACAAAGAGCCGGAUUCGAGCUCCCGUAAUUCAAUUAAUGCCGACACGAAAAAAUGAUGAGUCUGAGUACAUGAAGUACUUCGUCAGCAAACAUAGCGUAGUCAUGUUGGCUAGAGCCGAUGUGCUCCCCCCCCCCCCUCCCUGCAAACCUAGACGUAGUCAUGUUGGCUAGAAUGGAUAUCUCCCUUCCCAUAGUUUGUGCAGUGAGGCGGAGAAGGAUAUAUACCAUAACAGUGAAACUUAUGUGUUACUGGAGCCAGGAGAGGAUGAGAAGUUUGUUUCAGAGGAUGAGCUGAGAAAAUCAUUCAAGCCUUGAAGAUUAAAAGUUUCUUUUGGCUCAAAGAAUUGAGAGUUUGAUUGUAUUUACUGAAAUUAGUAGUUAACAAAGCAUAAUCACAAACUGUAACAACUACACCCUCUUGUUAAUUUUAUUUUGUAGUUCUCACGUCACCUAAUAAAAAUUGAACACGUGUUAGGCUCGAGACACUAAAGAGACAUGUUAAGAUUAUCCCACAUUGUAACAUCCUACUAGAAGAGCAUAUAUGAGUUCUCACUUCACCUAAUAAAAA
Malus domestica (apple) is the source of this 753-nucleotide non-coding RNA. Lineage: Eukaryota; Viridiplantae; Streptophyta; Magnoliopsida; Rosales; Rosaceae. The record is from RefSeq and is a predicted model, not a curated record.